This 253-nucleotide ribosomal RNA is filed under the name uncultured bacterium. Its description in RNAcentral is "partial 16S ribosomal RNA". It matches the Rfam family "Bacterial small subunit ribosomal RNA", at positions 524 to 776 of the family's 1533-position model. The record is from RNAcentral.
UACAGAGGGGGCAAGCGUUAUUCGGAAUUAUUGGGCGUAAAGGGCGCGUAGGCGGCCUGGCAAGUGGAUGGUGGAAUCCCUCGGCUUAACCGAGGAACUGCCAUCCAGACUGCUUGGCUUGAGACCGGGAGAGGUGAGUGGAAUUCCCAGUGUAGCGGUGAAAUGCGUAGAUAUUGGGAGGAACACCAGUGGCGAAGGCGGCUCACUGGACCGGUACUGACGCUGAGGCGCGAAAGCGUGGGGAGCAAACGGG